GUAGGGUGCGAGCGUUAAUCGGAAUUACUGGGCGUAAAGUGUGCGCAGGCCGCCGAGCAAGUCGAGUGUGAAAGCCCCGAGCUUAACUUGGGAACUGCGCUCGAAACUACUUGGCUAGAGUGUGGCAGAGGGAGGUGGAAUUCCACGUGUAGCGGUGAAAUGCGUAGAGAUGUGGAGGAACACCGAUGGCGAAGGCAGCCUCCUGGGCCAACACUGACGCUCAUGCACGAAAGCGUGGGGAGCAAACAGGAUUAGAUACCCUGGUAGUCCACGCCCUAAACGAUGAUGACUAGUUGUUGGAGGAGUUAAAUCCUUUAGUAACGCAGCUAACGCGUGAAGUCAUCCGCCUGGGGAGUACGGUCGCAAGAUUAAA
RNAcentral lists this ribosomal RNA (373 nucleotides) under uncultured bacterium. Its description in RNAcentral is "bacterial SSU rRNA". It matches the Rfam family "Bacterial small subunit ribosomal RNA", at positions 527 to 898 of the family's 1533-position model. The record is from RNAcentral.